This 396-nucleotide ribosomal RNA is filed under the name uncultured bacterium. RNAcentral's name for it is "partial 16S ribosomal RNA". It matches the Rfam family "Bacterial small subunit ribosomal RNA", at positions 523 to 918 of the family's 1533-position model. The record is from RNAcentral.
AUACGGAGGGUGCAAGCGUUAUCCGGAUUUACUGGGUGUAAAGGGCGCGUAGGCGGGGAUGCAAGUCAGAUGUGAAAUCUAUGAGCUUAACUCAUAAACUGCAUUUGAAACUGUAUUUCUUGAGUGCUGGAGAGGUAGACGGAAUUCCUUGUGUAGCGGUGAAAUGCGUAGAUAUAAGGAAGAACACCAGUGGCGAAGGCGGUCUACUGGACAGUAACUGACGCUGAGGCGCGAAAACGUGGGGAGCAAACAGGAUUAGAUACCCUGGUAGUCCACGUCGUAAACGAUGAAUACUAGGUGUGGGGGGACUGACCCCCUCCGUGCCGCAGUUAACACAAUAAGUAUUCCACCUGGGGAGUACGGCCGCAAGGUUGAAACUCAAAUGAAUUGACGGGG